UUUGGUUUUAUUUUGUUGUCUCUAUAAUGCUGAAAUCUGUUGUUUUUAGACUUUAUUCCUUCUGUGUUCACAACUGUUUGCUUUCAUCGCCCUUUUAUGGAAUGCGAACUUUCGUGAAGUAUAACAUACAUACUCACAUAGUGAAUACACUCCUGUAAUCAGCACCCACAUUGACAGAACACUGCAGGAACCUCAAAACCCAUGCCUCCUUCACCCGGCCAUCCCUAGUUUGGCCAGCUUUGGAUCUCCGUGUAAGUGGGAUCAUAGGGUCUGUAUUCUUUAGUGCCUAAAGUAGGCAUUUUCAUUUGGAGUUCUGAUGUUUGAGGUAGGCACAGAAAGUACCUCUGGAGACUUGUGCACAGGUGUGAAGUGUGGGCCAGGAGCAGCACGUGGGACUCUAGUGAGUGAAGUGGCCUGGGUGUAGUACCAAGGCAAGGCAACCCUGUUUCUGCAACCCCUGUUUCCGGUGUUGAGGCCUUUUUGGCCUACAUUCACAUCUGACCAUUUUCUCCUUGUUCCCUUGGGCCAGAAGAUUUCAUUGGAUGAUGUUGUUUUUUAGUUGUAGAUGGACACAAUACAUUUUAUUUAUUUAUUUAUUUUUUAUAUGGUGCUGAGGAUUGAACCCAGUGCCUCACGCGUGCUAGGCAAGCACUCUUACCACUGAGCUACAACCCCGGCCCUUGGAGGGUUUCUUUAACCUCCUCUGCAUCUCCUGGGCCUUGGGGUAGAGAAAGCAGGGUGAGAUAUUUUUUCCCUUCACAAUCCACACCUCAGCUUGCCCUCUGCGUGUCCUUUCUGCCUUCCUCUACUGCCUUUUAUUUCCCCUUCCAUUUAAAAAUCUUUGCCUUCCUUCUUCCAGCUUUUCUCUUCCCUCUCGCACCUGUUGCUCUCUCUUGCUCCUUCUUUGCACUCUGGGGAGCAGCCAGUGACCUCUCUCCAUCCUCUCCCUUUGCCCCUGGCAGGAGAUGAGCUGGUGAUGAAGAUCAAGCAAGAGAAGCCAGAGUCCGACGACGUCUGUGUCCGGCACGAAG
This 1031-nucleotide long non-coding RNA is filed under the name Marmota monax (woodchuck). Lineage: Eukaryota; Metazoa; Chordata; Mammalia; Rodentia; Sciuridae. The record is from RNAcentral.